RNAcentral lists this ribosomal RNA (496 nucleotides) under uncultured bacterium. RNAcentral's name for it is "partial 16S ribosomal RNA". It matches the Rfam family "Bacterial small subunit ribosomal RNA", at positions 28 to 506 of the family's 1533-position model. The record is from RNAcentral.
GAUGAACGCUGGCGGCGUGCCUAAUACAUGCAAGUCGAGCGAACAGAUGAGGAGCUUGCUCCUCUGACGUUAGCGGCGGACGGGUGAGUAACACGUGGAUAACCUACCUAUAAGACUGGGAUAACUUCGGGAAACCGGAGCUAAUACCGGAUAAUAUAUUGAACCGCAUGGUUCAAUAGUGAAAGACGGUUUUGCUGUCACUUAUAGAUGGAUCCGCGCCGCAUUAGCUAGUUGGUAAGGUAACGGCUUACCAAGGCAACGAUGCGUAGCCGACCUGAGAGGGUGAUCGGCCACACUGGAACUGAGACACGGUCCAGACUCCUACGGGAGGCAGCAGUAGGGAAUCUUCCGCAAUGGGCGAAAGCCUGACGGAGCAACGCCGCGUGAGUGAUGAAGGUCUUCGGAUCGUAAAACGCUGUUAUUAGGGAAGAACAAAUGUGUAAGUAACGAUGCACGUCUGGAGGGUACCUAAUCAGAAAGCCACGGCUAACUACGU